This 314-nucleotide unclassified non-coding RNA is filed under the name Hevea brasiliensis (rubber tree). Lineage: Eukaryota; Viridiplantae; Streptophyta; Magnoliopsida; Malpighiales; Euphorbiaceae. The record is from RNAcentral.
CGGUUUGGUUCGGUUUUUAAAAUUCUUGAUUUUCGGUUUUAUCGGUUCGGAACCGAACCGACCAUUUGCACACCCCUGGAUAGUACAUUCCACUUUUUGCGACAUGAUUGAUAGCAGAAAAUGCAAAAACAUUCUUAAUAAGUAAAAUUGCACUCUGAGCAAAAGAGAAAGCAACGAGCAAUGCAAUAAAGCCAUUCAACAGAAAUAAUAAUCCACAGCACUAGAAAUUUUCAAGACUUCCUAAGGACUUAAAAUGAAGCAUAUGAAAGACAGAGUAGAUUGCAACUUACAGUUCCCAACACAUCACUCACAUC